RNAcentral lists this ribosomal RNA (433 nucleotides) under uncultured bacterium. RNAcentral describes it as "partial 16S ribosomal RNA". It matches the Rfam family "Bacterial small subunit ribosomal RNA", at positions 29 to 507 of the family's 1533-position model. The record is from RNAcentral.
AACGAACGCUGGCGGCAUGCCUAACACAUGCAAGUCGAACGAGACCUUCGGGUCUAGUGGCGCACGGGUGCGUAACGCGUGGGAACCUGCCCUUAGGUUCGGAAUAACUCCCCGAAAGGGGUGCUAAUACCGGAUAAUGUCUUCGGACCAAAGAUUUAUCGCCUUUGGAUGGGCCCGCGUUGGAUUAGCUAGUUGGUAGGGUAAAAGCCUACCAAGGCGACGAUCCAUAGCUGGUCUGAGAGGAUGAUCAGCCACACUGGGACUGAGACACGGCCCAGACUCCUACGGGAGGGAGGAGUGGGGGAUAAUGGGCCAAGGGGGAAAGCCUGAUCCAGCAAUGCCGCGUGAGUGAUGAAGGCCUUAGGGUUGUAAAGCUCUUUUACCCGGGAUGAUAAUGACAGUACCGGGAGAAUAAGCUCCGGCUAACUCCGUG